CCUACGGGAGGCAGCAGUGAGGAAUAUUGGUCAAUGGGCGCGAGCCUGAACCAGCCAAGUCGCGUGAGGGAAGACGGUCCUAUGGAUUGUAAACCUCUUUUGUCGGGGAGCAAAAGACGCCACGCGUGGCGUUCCGAGAGUACCCGUAGAUAAAGCAUCGGCUAACUCUGUGCCAGCAGCCGCGGUAAUACGGAGGAUGCGAGCGUUAUCCGGUUAUAUUUGGUUUUAAGGGUGCGCAGGCGGAAGCUCAAGUCAGCGGUAAAAUUGAGAGGCUCAACCUCUUCGAGCCGUUGAAACUGGUUAUCUUGAGUGAGCGAGGAGUAAGCGGAAGGCGUGGUGUAGCGGUGAAAUGCAUAGAUAUCACGCAGAACUCCGAUUGCGAAGGCAGCAUACCGGCGCUCAACUGACGCUCAUGCACGAAAGUGUGGGUAUCGAACAGGAUUAGAUACCCUAGUAGUC
This 459-nucleotide ribosomal RNA is filed under the name uncultured bacterium. Its description in RNAcentral is "partial 16S ribosomal RNA". It matches the Rfam family "Bacterial small subunit ribosomal RNA", at positions 338 to 795 of the family's 1533-position model. The record is from RNAcentral.